UGGGGAAUUUUCCGCAAUGGGCGCAAGCCUGACGGAGCAAUACCGCGUGAGGGAGGAAGGCUUUUGGGUUGUAAACCUCUUUUCUCAAGGAAGAAGCACUGACGGUACUUGAGGAAUCAGCAUCGGCUAACUUCGUGCCAGCAGCCGCGGUAAUACGAAGGGGGCUAGCGUUGUUCGGAAUUACUGGGCGUAAAGCGCGCGUAGGCGGAUUGUUAAGUCAGGGGUGAAAUCCCGAGGCUCAACCUCGGAACUGCCUCUGAUACUGGCAAUCUCGAGUCCGGAAGAGGUUGGUGGAAUUCCGAGUGUAGAGGUGAAAUUCGUAGAUAUUCGGAGGAACACCAGAGGCGAAGGCGGCCAACUGGUCCGAGACUGACGCUGAGGCGCGAAAGCGUGGGGAGCAAACAGGAUUAGAUACCCCUGUAGUCC
Molecule: ribosomal RNA, 426 nt
Filed under: uncultured prokaryote
Description: bacterial SSU rRNA
Rfam family: Bacterial small subunit ribosomal RNA
Source: RNAcentral